This 398-nucleotide ribosomal RNA is filed under the name uncultured Limnohabitans sp. Its description in RNAcentral is "bacterial SSU rRNA". It matches the Rfam family "Bacterial small subunit ribosomal RNA", at positions 1 to 410 of the family's 1533-position model. The record is from RNAcentral. Lineage: Bacteria; Pseudomonadati; Pseudomonadota; Betaproteobacteria; Burkholderiales; Comamonadaceae.
ACUGGAGUUUUAUCCUGGCUCAGAUUGAACGCUGGCGGAAUGCUUUACACAUGCAAGUCGAACGGUAGAGGGGGCAACCCCUUGAGAGUGGCGAACGGGUGAGUAAUAUAUCGGAACGUGCCCAGUCGUGGGGGAUAACGUAGUGAAAAUUACGCUAAUACCGCAUACGAUCUAAGGAUGAAAGCGGGGGAUCGCAAGACCUCGCGCGACUGGAGCGGCCGAUAUCAGAUUAGCUUGUUGGUGGGGUAAAAGCCCACCAAGGCGACGAUCUGUAGCUGGUCUGAGAGGACGACCAGCCACACUGGAACUGAGACACGGUCCAGACUCCUACGGGAGCAGCAGUGGGGAAUUUGGACAAUGGACGCAAGUCUGAUCCAGCCAUUCCCGCGUGCAGGAUG